This is an RNA transcript of Talpa occidentalis (Iberian mole), 1064 nucleotides long. RefSeq lists it as uncharacterized. The transcript has 8 exons. The record is from RefSeq and is a predicted model, not a curated record. NCBI's taxonomy places the organism in Eukaryota, Metazoa, Chordata, Mammalia, Eulipotyphla, Talpidae.
ACAGGUCCACCCCAGGACCUGCCUUGCAGACCCCGCAAUGCUCACUCCGGGAACGAAAUGGACGUGCCGUUCAGGAGAGCUGGGUGAGCCCAUGGGGUCUGGCGAGAGCCCAUGCUGCGGGGGGCCGACUCAGAAUACGAGCAGAGCAGCAAAGCUGACUUAACCUCCUGGUCUGACCUGGAGGCCAAAGCAGAGGGCCCUUGAAGGUCUUGAGAGGAGACGCUAAGCUCAUCUUUGUGGAAGACCACCUGGCCUCUGCUCGGAAUCCCCCCCUUUCUCCUGACUCCAGGGAGGUGGACCCCAAGCCAUGGCUGGGCCAAGGUGUGGCCGACCUACCUGCAUCAGGGCUGCGCUCAGCACCCCCAGCACCAGGACCAACUUCCGGAAGGGACAGAGGCGCCCGCUCCAUCGCCUCAAGGCCGGUCUCAACAAGCACCACCUGGACUUCGCGGACAGCUCCUGGAGAGAGCUUCUAGAUCCCUCUGACGGGGAGCUGGACGCUGCCCCCUGGCAAUGGGCCUGCCGCGGCCCUGGCUGCGCUGCAGGUGGCACUGGGCCUCCCCACGCACCCAAGCCCAGGAGCCCGGAAGAAGGCUGCUUAGAAGGGCCACCGUGGAAACUUUCAGAUGCUGGCUGGGCCUCUGCCUCCCUGGGGGCCACAGACGUGGACAUGCAGCCGGUGGAGGCCAGUGGCCCUGAGGUGCCCAUGGGGCCAGCCGGGCUUCCUGGGGCUCCAGCGGACUUGAGGAGGCUGGGGGGAGAGUGGGGUCCCAGGGCAGCGGAGCACCCCGACCCCGCCAGACACACGCGGGGCCGAGCCAGGGCGGCCCGGGCCCCCAGACUCGGGAGUGAGCGGGACAGGAUGCCCAAGCUGUCCCUCUCCAAGAGGAAGCUAGAGCUGCUACUCGCGGAGCCUGAGAAACAUAAGAGGCGGAAGCAGCAUGUGAGCUAGAGCAGGCACAGACCGAGCGGAGUGUGGGGCCAGUGCCGGGGCCAGCCCCUCUGCUGGGGCCACGUCGCAGGCCUGGGACUCGCUGUCCAAACACCAAUAAAAGCAGAUCACC